Long non-coding RNA from Lucilia sericata (common green bottle fly), 5327 nucleotides. RefSeq lists it as uncharacterized. The transcript is spliced from 7 exons. The record is from RefSeq and is a predicted model, not a curated record. Lineage: Eukaryota; Metazoa; Arthropoda; Insecta; Diptera; Calliphoridae.
GAGGAGGCAAAUAAGAAAAAUACUACGCGUGGGUGAAGAAGAAGCACCCAAACAAAAAAAAAUAUCAAUGGAUACAACGAGGUUCUGGUGGAUUUCUAUGGCCGUAUAAGGGGAUUUUAAAUAAGGGAUCAUGUUGGCUGCCUUGGGCCUAUAUAAAAAACUUGAUGGCCGAUUCUGAAAGAUGGCGGAUCGAAGCAGAAUGAAAUGGUUUUGUUCCAGAUGGUCCAGUGGACUAGGGAUUAAGGUGGUUCCGGGAAUUUAAGCUAAUAAAAUUCAAUUGGACCUGGGAUUUGGCCUUGGUUGCUGCUUCCGUUCAGGAAAGGUUAUAAAUUCAGAUUGGACCUGGACCGGAAGCUUGAAUGCGGUAUAUGAACCCAAUUAUUAUUCUAAAACAGUAAGUACUAACUAAUACUGAACUUAUCUAAAUCAAAUGAUUAGAUAUUGAAAAUGACUUGUAUCAUCAAAAUUUACUUUAGACCAAAUACUAAUUGUUUUGUUUUUCCUUUCACAGGUUGAAUCAUCAAAUUUUGGUUCCUGAAGAAAAUCAACAAUACCAGCCAACUGUAAGAUCGAGAGGAAAAUUUCUCCAAUCAACGAAAAUUUUAAUCGGUAAGUGAAAACUUUAAAUUUCUAUUAUUAACAUCUAAUUUUAAGUUAUUCUGUUUAGUCUAAUAUUAGAUUUAGUAUUUAAAUUAGAUUUAAAAGCAAACUAUAGAUAUAUUGCCUUAUUUCGUGAUCGUUAAGAUCAUAAUGUUUUCCAUUAGAAAAAACUAUUUUGCCAGGAAUAGUUCGUGUUGUGAGAACAACAUACCGUAGUGAUAGAUUUCCCUGUUAACGAGUAAUUCACGUGUUUCUACCCGAAACGCUUGUUGGAUACUCGUUCCCAGCUUUGUUCCCAGACAAUUCAAAUUGCCAAAUUUUAGUCAGCGCUUAGAUGACUAAUAAUUCCUAACCCUGAGUGCAUGGUUCCAAAGGGUGCUAUGACGGAAUUGCAUUAUGACUAGCGUCUGACGAUCACAACGUGGUCAUAAACGAAAAUUAAUAUAUUUAGUCUGGUUGAGCACUCGGCGAACUACUCGUUAACGGGCAAACUAUCACGACUGUUUACUGUUCCACAACACAAAUGAACUUCCCUGGUCGUAGGCUUUCACUAAAAAAGAAAACAAAGUGUUAAAUAUAAUCAAGGCAAAAUAUCAUUAACAAAAUGUUUUGUGUAGAAAGUAUCUACUAACUCAUUUAUACAAAAUACAGAAAAUAAAAUAGGUUUUAUCAUUUUGGUUCGAGCUAGGAGUAGGUAUAAUCGUUGGGACUAGAACCACCAAAGAUGUUGAAACUAUUGUUUCAAAUCUUUGGCAUGAAAUACCCCCAACGAUUUUCCUUGAAGGUCUUCAACCUCGUAUAGGCUAUUACCAAUAGGUCUGACAAUUCGGCAUUUUAAAAAUUUCUUGGCUAGUUUAGCAUUAAAAUUAUUUUUGAAAUCGCUUUGCUGAAAGUUGCGGCGAUAAACCUCUUGACCUGGUACAAACUUGACUUGACGGCAACGGGUAUUGUAUGUCUUCUCGUUUUUCAAAUAUGCUUUGUGCAGAUUCUCACGAAUUUUGUGCCGUACUAAGUCCAUUUUUACGGGUUUUGGUACUAUGUCGAUUUCCGGAUCAUGAAGACAUUGUAGUUUCUUAGCAAGCUUAUAUACACUUCCGUGCGAAAUCAUGUUCAUACCGAACAGUGCGAAGUACGGCGUAACCCCAAUAGACGUUUGGACUGACGACCGCAGCGAAAAUUCAAUUUCGGACAGGUACUUGUCCCACUCAGUGUGAUCCUCCUGUAGGUAGGAACGAAUUGCGGACAGGAUGGACUGGUUAACCCGUUCCGAAGCGUUGGCUUGUGGCGAGUGUGUGGCAGUUUUUACAUGCUUUACGCCAAAAUUCGUUACCAUAUCCUGAAACUCUUUACUAGUAAACUGCUUGCCAUUAUCAGACAAAAUCGUCUCAGGUGUACCAAAUUUGUGGAACACUUCAGAUAUUAAAAACUUAAUGACGUUUUUCGUGUUAGCUUUCGGUAUAGCUCUGAGCAGUACAUAUUUCGUUAGGUGGUCGAGGACGAUGAAUAUGUAAGCCUUUCCGUUUCUUGACCGUGGAUAAGGCCCCAAAAAGUCUAUAAAGAUCUUCUGGAACGGUCGUUCCGUUGUAGAUUCAGCUCCCAUUGGUGGUCUUAGGAUAGAAUUCGCGGGUUUUGUCUCGCGACAGGUUUGGCAUUUGGCCACAAAUGAUCGGACCUGAACAUUCUGGUUGGGCCAGUAGAAAUAUUCCCUUAACCUUCGGAGCGUUUUACCAAAACCUCCAUGAGCGGCUUGAGGCGGAUUGUGGCACUUCGCAAUUACUUCUUGCGUAAGCUCUAGUGGAACCCAUAACUUCCAAAAUCUUCGUCGGCAAAAUCUUCGUUUAGCGGCACCCCGUCAUAUGGGAGGACCCGCUUAUAAACCAGGUCAUCCACGACCUUCAAAUCAGGCAGGCUUUCAGCGUUUUCCUUGAUUUUGGCGAUUAAGUCCAGAUACUUCCUCCAUGUCAUAUCUCGACAAGGUGUCGGGAACGAUAUUUUUGGAUCCGGGCCGGUGUUCGAUGGUAAAGGUAAAGGCCUGUAGAUGUAAGCUCCAUCGGGCUAGUCUGCCACUGAGGUCUUUGUGGGACAUAAGCCAUUUUAGGCUGCUAUGGUCCGUGAUGACUGUAAAUGGCAAAAGUUCUAUAUAAGGCCGGAAUUUCUUAAUGGCCAUCACUACGGCCAAACACUCUCUCUCGGUAACCGAGUAGUUCUUCUGUGCACUGGUCAAUUUGUGAGAGAAGAAGGCUACUGGAUGUUCGCCGUCGUUUUCGUCCUUCUGGAGCAGAACUGCUCCCAAACCUAUGUCUGAUGCAUCGCAUUGGACAUAAAAGUGCCUGUUGAAAUCGGGAUGCAUAAGCACUGGUGCUGUUGUGAGGGCGGACUUUAGCUUGUCGAAGGCUUCCUUAGCUUCGUCCGGAAAGUUGAAACCUUUUCCUUUCUUAAGGGUGUUAAAAAUAGGUGUUGAUAUGGUAGCGUAGUCGGGGAUGAAGCGCCUAUACCAACCCGUAGCACCCAUGAAGCUUCGGACCUGUUUGGCGGUUUUCGGGUAGGUAUAUUUUAAAAUCGUAUCGAUCUUAUCUGGGUCAGGUUUUAACUUCCCUCCUCCUACUAUAUACCCUAGGUACUUCAACUCUUUGAAGAAAAAUUUCGACUUCCCUACGUUGAUGGUCAGACCCGCCGAAUCCAGGCAAUGCGCUACCCGAUCCAGCAACUCCAGGUGAGUCUCAAAGUCUGGAGAUACUAUCAAAAGGUCAUCUAGAUAGACGAAAACUCUAUCACGAAGUGCUGAAGGGAUCACUUUGUCCAUCAGACGACAUAACCUUUGGGCUGCGUUACACAACCCGAAAGGCAUGACCGUGAAAUGGUAAAGUGGUCGCCCCGGCACCGUGAAUGCAGUCUUCUCCCUACUAGAUGCAUCUAACGGUAUCUGCCAGAACGCGUCUUUGAGAUCCACGCUGGAUAUGAAGAACGUAUCCCCUAACCGACUGAGCAGACCUUCGAUGUGCGGCAGCGGAUAGGCGUCCUUGACCGUGAGGGCAUUUAGCUUACGAGCGUCCAGACACAAUCGGUUCUUCUCGCCCCUACGGACGAGAGUAACCGGAUGGCUCCAAGGACUCUCGCUCUGCUCUAUGACCCCAAGCUCAAGCAUCCUAUCCAGCUCUGCAUACAUUAACUUCUGCACAGCCGGUGAGACGGGAUAAUGCCUGUCCUUCACUGGGAUCGCGUCGCGGGUAUCGAUUGUAUGGGUUUCGAGGGAAGUCUGACCGAGUCCCUUCUUUGAGAAACACGGGAAUUUUGCUACCACCACAUCUAAUGCCGCCUUUUGCCCAGGAGUAAGAAUAUGGGUUUUGGUUACAUCCUUCGUCUCCUCAGACUCCGGACACAAAUUAACCCCGUUAGUUGUAAUGCUACAUAUACUAGGAAACAGACCGAAACUUUUCAUAAAAUCUACCCCUAAAAAUAGAGGCCUAUUUAAAGUAUGUACUAGAUAUAGAGUCACUUCAUUAGAACAAUUAUUAAAAUUAACUUUGGUUUUUACUCGUCCAACAAUUCUAUGUGGACUGCCAUCGGCAGUUUUUACAUAGGACAAAAAUUUAAAAACUUGAAGACCGGAUUCCUCCACUAACUCCAUGCAGCCCUUACCUAAGCAAGACACCGUGGCUCCACUGUCUAACAGACCAUCAAUCUCACAACCAUUUAUAUUAAUCUUUAGAUAAAGUCUAGCAUCCUUGCCCUCAUACAAACUCGUAGACAAAAUUUCAUUCUUGAUCUUCUUUCUAAUUUUAUACCUAAGUCUAGCUUUCUGAAUUCUAUUCGAUACUUGACCAAAAAUCCUAGAUUUUGCUUCAGCGUAUUCCCGAAUUCUUUGAUGAAGCGGUUUAAUUAUAUGAACUUUAGGUUGUUCAUCGGCUGGCAUUAUGCGUGCAUUAUUAACUAGAAUUUUAAACGUGUUCGAUACCAUGGUCAACCGGGAUUAAGCUAGGGUUGAACGAGUCUCCCCCGUUUGGGACUCGCUCCCCUUCAGGUUUCCCUGACAUUUAGGGCACUUAGGCGUGACUACGUCAUCCCUACCACAUCUAAAACAAAAUAUGCGUCUAUUAGGUGAAGGACAAUCCACGAAACUAUGGCCUGGCUGCUUACAAUUCCAGCAAAUAUACCGGCUACUAGUGGCUAAGGCGUCGAUUUCGAGGAUUGGUAUUGGCACUUCAUCUCCAAACUGGAGUUCAUGGACUCGAGCUGGGGCGGGUUGUCUAGACUGGAAAGUCUGCCUCUGACUGGUGAUUAAAUUUUCAGCUCUUUUCGCCUGUUGACAGAACUCAUUGAGACUAGAAGUGGUCACGGAAAAUAGUAGAUGUGACAAUGACGGCUUUAGAUUACUUUUCAUAAUCUCCACUAGAUCUCGUUCUGAAUAGGGAUUUCGCUGUUGAUUUCUUAGCUUCAUCACACCAUUGUAAAAACUUUCAAAGCUUUCCAUCGGCAUUUGGCGACGAUCCAUAAUUUGUUUUUGUAACUGGAACUCGUUCUCAAAUCUUCGGAACUGGGUAAGGAAUGCUCCCACCAACUCAUCCCAGGACUGUAUUGGCCUUAACUUACGUAGGUUCCAAUACCAGUCCAGCGCCUGGCCUUCUAGCAGAUGAUGAAAACCUCGUAGGACGUCAUUGAACGCGCAGUUGUAGUCCUGUCUUAGAACGUCUACUCGAAAAAUGAAAUCUUCUGCACUCAGUUUUAAG